This 468-nucleotide ribosomal RNA is filed under the name uncultured bacterium. RNAcentral's name for it is "partial 16S ribosomal RNA". It matches the Rfam family "Bacterial small subunit ribosomal RNA", at positions 28 to 507 of the family's 1533-position model. The record is from RNAcentral.
GACGAACGCUGGCGGCGUGCUUAACACAUGCAAGUCGAACGGAAAGGCCCUGCUUUUGUGGGGUGCUCGAGUGGCGAACGGGUGAGUAACACGUGAGUAACCUGCCCUUGACUUUGGGAUAACUUCAGGAAACUGGGGCUAAUACCGGAUAGGAGCUCCUGCUGCAUGGUGGGGGUUGGAAAGUUUCGGCGGUUGGGGAUGGACUCGCGGCUUAUCAGCUUGUUGGUGGGGUAGUGGCUUACCAAGGCUUUGACGGGUAGCCGGCCUGAGAGGGUGACCGGCCACAUUGGUACUGAGGUACGGCCCAGACUCCUACGGGAGGCAGCAGUGGGGAAUAUUGCACAAUGGGCGGGAGCCUGAUGCAGCGGCGCCGCGUGCGGGAUGACGGCCUUCGGGUUGUAAACCGCUUUCGCCUGUGACGAAGCGUGAGUGACGGUAAUGGGUAAAGAAGCACCGGCUAACUACGUG